AUUCUUCGGAUGAUUGAUCGGUGACUGAGUGGCGGACGGGUGAGUAACGCGUGGGUAACCUGCCCUGUACAGGGGGAUAACAGUUGGAAACGGCUGCUAAUACCGCAUAAGCGCACGAGAGGACAUCCUCUUGUGUGAAAAACUCCGGUGGUACAGGAUGGACCCGCGUCUGAUUAGCUAGUUGGUGAGGUAACGGCUUACCAAGGCAACGAUCAGUAGCCGGUCUGAGAGGAUGAACGGCCACAUUGGAACUGAGACACGGUCCAAACUCC
Molecule: ribosomal RNA, 272 nt
Filed under: uncultured Lachnospiraceae bacterium
Lineage: Bacteria; Bacillati; Bacillota; Clostridia; Lachnospirales; Lachnospiraceae
Description: partial 16S ribosomal RNA
Rfam family: Bacterial small subunit ribosomal RNA
Source: RNAcentral